AGUGAACGCUGGCGGUAGGCCUAACACAUGCAAGUCGAACGGCAGCACAGUAAGAGCUUGCUCUUACGGGUGGCGAGUGGCGGGCGGGUGAGGAAUACAUCGGAAUCUACUUUUUCGUGGGGGAUAACGUAGGGAAACUUACGCUAAUACCGCAUACGACCUACGGGUGAAAGCAGGGGAUCUUCGGACCUUGCGCGAUUGAAUGAGCCGAUGUCGGAUUAGCUAGUUGGCGGGGUAAAGGCCCACCAAGGCGACGAUCCGUAGCUGGUCUGAGAGGACGAUCAGCCACACUGGAACUGAGACACGGUCCAGACUCCUACGGGAGGCAGCAGUGGGGAAUAUUGGACAAUGGGCGCAAGCCUGAUCCAGCCAUACCGCGUGGGUGAAGAAGGCCUUCGGGUUGUAAAGCCCUUUUGUUGGGAAAGAAAAGCAGCAGGUUAAUACCCCGCUGUUCUGACGGUACCCAAAGAAUAAGCACCGGCUAACUUCGUG
This 492-nucleotide ribosomal RNA is filed under the name uncultured bacterium. RNAcentral's name for it is "partial 16S ribosomal RNA". It matches the Rfam family "Bacterial small subunit ribosomal RNA", at positions 29 to 507 of the family's 1533-position model. The record is from RNAcentral.